GCUAACUCCGUGCCAGCAGCCGCGGUAAUACGGAGGGUGCUAGCGUUAUCCGGAAUCACUGGGCGUAAAGGGCGCGUAGGCGGCCUGGUAAGUCUGAUGUUAAAGAGCGGGGCUCAACCCCGUCACGGCGUUGGAUACUGCUGGGCUCGACGGCUGGAGAGGUGAGUGGAAUUACCAGUGUAGCGGUGGAAUGCGUAGAUACUGGUAGGAACACCCAUUGCGAAGGCAGCUCACUGGACAGCACGUGACGCUGAGGCGCGAAAGUGUGGGGAGCAAACCGGAUUAGAUACCCUUGUAGUC
This 300-nucleotide ribosomal RNA is filed under the name uncultured Truepera sp. Its description in RNAcentral is "bacterial SSU rRNA". It matches the Rfam family "Bacterial small subunit ribosomal RNA", at positions 496 to 795 of the family's 1533-position model. The record is from RNAcentral. Lineage: Bacteria; Thermotogati; Deinococcota; Deinococci; Trueperales; Trueperaceae.